GAAGUAGUCAUGUUUAAAUCUCCUAUGGUCGAGGGUAAAAUGACUCGAUCAUUUAUCAAAGUAAGAGUUCUAGUUGAUUGGACUAAUCCUCUUGUGUCGAGAUUUUGGAUCCCUCACCCACAAUGCAAACCUGUAAGGAUUUCAGUGAAGUAUGAAAGGCUCCAAAAAUUUUGUUACAAGUGUGGCCGCAUUAAACAUAAUAGUAAGCAUUGUCAAUUUACCAGUGAAGAAAUAGAAGAAGAAAUAGAGAAGGAAGAGUUUGGUAGUUGGAUGGGUAUAUCAAAUGUUAAGAAUUUAAAGGAUGCUAUUAAAGUGUAUAGGUCUGAUUAGGUUGAGGCUUCAAUGGUCGGUGUUGGUAAAACUCCAACCACUAGCACAUGACAGAGGAAGGAUGACUUGGGCCGACCAUUGUUACAAGGAAAGAAUAGAUAUUUGGGCAUUAAAAUUAGAUUUAGAGAGAAGAUCAGGAUGCAAAAAGAUAAAAGGUAAUCCCUCUAUUACUAGUAAUGAUGAUAGAAGAGAGAAACCUUUACAUCAUAUUGAUCAUGCGAAGGUGGUUUCGGAGCUAUUUACAAGUAAGGAUCUAGCAAUUAAUAAGGAUUGCAAUUUUGUGAGCUCUAAUGUCACUAAUAGUGAAACUCUACAUAAUGGGCCUAACUCUAAGGAGGCCUACAUCAAUUGGAGUAUAGUUGAGGUAGAAGGGUCUGUUAAUAUUCCUAAAAGCCCAAAAGCAUAUAUUAUUGAAUUCCCUAAGGAAGACUUAAGCAGUAUUGGGGCCUUAGUUCCUUUUAUUGGGCUAUCACCUAUGUCUAAAAUUACAAAUGGGCUGUGACAAGUUGUGUUUAAACGACAAACAGAGGAGCCUAAUAGUCUAAUAGCUUUUAAAUGUAGGAAAUUGUUUAUGAAAGAGGCAGAGAUUAGCAAUUCAAUUCAAGGGCAAGGGUCAGUGGAUUCACAAAUUAUCAAAGUUUCCUAUAGAAGUAUUAAAAACCAGAUUUGCUCUCGAAGAGGGAGGGGAGUAGGUAGAAGAAGGAUAUUGUCUCAGCUUGUUAGUAAAGAUUACCAGGUAUGAGUUAAUUUUUCAUCAGAUAGAUUUAUUUUUGGUGAAGAUUUGUCUGCCAUAAAGGAAGAUGUUGAUAGCUUUGACGUCGGUGGUAAGGACGAACACACUACCAGUUCACCAUGAAAAUAUUAUCUUGGAAUUGCUAAGGUUUGGGGGUUCCCUUCGUAAUCAAAAAUAUCAGAGAUGAAUGCAAAAAGAAUAAUUCCCAAAUAGUGUUUCUUAUGGAGACCAAGAAGAAAAUAAGCUAUAUGUUGAAGAUUAGAAGAAAGUGCAGGUUUGAUGAAGAAUGGACUGUAGACCCUUAAGGGCUCAGUGGAGGGCUUGUUGUUUGGUGGCGCAAAGAAGUGGUAAUUAAUAUUCUAUCUUCCUCUUUGAAUAUUAUUUAUACCAGUAUUUUUCCUUCUACUUUGGAUUUUUUGCAAUAUAUAUCCUUUAUAUACGGCCCACCAUGUGAAAAAGAUAGGCUUUAGGUUUAGCAAGUUCUGAUUAGACAAGCACAGGGUAUACAUAGACUAUGGAUUUGUUUGGGUGACUUUAAUGAUAUUGUGUCCCCAAGAGAAAAGGAAGGUGGUAAUUUAAGGGCAAUUCGGAAGAUGAUUAAUUUCUAACUAUUUAUUACAGACUGCUCAUUAAUGGAUCUUAGGUAUACUGGGUCAUGGUUCACUUAGUAUGAGACAUGAUGCUGACACUAUUAAAGAAAGAAUUGAUUGUGUAUUGGACAAUGUUGAUCCUUAUGAAGCAUUUCCAAAACUCUAGGUUUUCAAUAUUGAUCCAAUAGGCUCUGAUCAUCACUUGUUAUUAGUAGACUUAUGCAUUAUUGUUGGUAAAUCUCCUAGAAAUUGGGUUUUCUAUCUAGAUGACAAAAGGGUUAGUAUUUUGGAUGUGUUUAUGUAUAGACUUAAUUAUUGCAGGAAUUCAUUAGUUCGAUGGAGCUCUGAAAUGAUUCCUAAUAGUAAGAAAUGAAUUAAUGAGCUACAGAAUGAGUUAGUAGACUGUAGACAAGGAGAAAUUACAUAUGAGAAUCCCAAAUUAGCAGAAACCAUUAUGGCUGAAAUUGAAUGUUUGAUGGAUAAGGAAGAGGUGUAUUGGAGGCAGAGAUCGAGGAUUUCUUGGCUUUAAUCUAGUGAUAAAAAUUCAAAGUUUUUCUAUUUAUCUACUAUUUCAAGGCACUAGAGAAAUAACAUCUUAAGAAUCAGAGAUGAUCACGGUAUCUGGGUGAAUGAAUUAUCAAAUGUCUAAUCUAUUUUCAAGAUUUUAUGAGUAAUUGUUCCAAGUAUCACUACCAUGACCAUUUGAUGAAGCUCUUAGUUAUAUUGAUCGUCGAAUUGAUGAUCAUAUCAAUGAAUGCUUGUUACUACCUGUGACAAAAGAGGAAGUUCGCAUGAUUGUCUUUAGUCUGGGUGCAUCAAAGGCUCCAGGCCUUGAUGGCUUCUUUGAUAAAUUUUAUCAAUUAGCAUGUGUAGAGGUUAGUGAUAGUAUUUUUAUGAUGGUUAAGGAUUUCUUUGAUGGGAUGAUUGUGUUGGCUGAUAUCAACGAUACUAAUAUCACUUUAAUUCCUAAAGUUGAUAGACCAGGGCAUGUAUCUUACUUUAGACUGAUUGGGUUGUGUAACUUUUCUUACAAAGUCAUUUCUAAGAUACUUGCUACUCAUAUGAAGCCAUAUCUUCACAAGUACAUUUCAUUAAGCCAAGGUGCCUUCAUACCUGGGUGUUGUAUUCAUGAUAAUAUGAUAAUAGCACAUAAAGUUUACUAUUAUUUAAGGAUGAAGAGGAGUUCCCUUAAGAUAAACAUGAGUAAAGCUUAUGAUAGAAUUGAAUAGGACUUUCUUCAUCUUGUCUUACAGAAGUUGGGUUUUAGUACUAGAUGGGUUAAUAUGAUUAUGCUUUAUGUGGAAUUUGUGAACUUGAACCUCUAUUUCUUAGGAAACAGAGUUACUUCUUUCAAACCUGGGAGGGGCUUGAGAUAAGAGGACCUACUCUCUCCUUACUUGUUCAUUUGAGUUUUUGAGGUAUUAUCUAGUAUGAUUGAAAAAUUUCAUGCUUUGGAUAAAUUGAAAGGGGUUAAAAUGAGUACUCAAUGUCUUACUGUUACCCAUAAUUUCUUUAUAGAUGAUGCACUCUUCUUCAUGAAUGUAAACUAGUCUAAUUGCAGAAGUCUAGCUAAGAUUCUAAAGAUUUACUAUGAUGCAUCGAGCCAAGUGGCAAAUUUAGACAAGUCCUUCAUCUUCUUCUCUGAGAAUACUCCUAUUUCUAUUAGAAACUCUGUCUGCACAAUUUUAGGAAUUAAUGAGGCUGAUGAUCCUGGGCGGUACCUUGGAAUUCUGAGUAUAUGGGGCAAAACCAAGUAUCAAGCAGUUUCUUAUGUUAGGGACAGAGUUAGUACAAAAGUGAAUGGGUGGACUAGGAAAUACUUAUCAUAUGCUAGUUGAGAAGUCUUAAUUAAGGUAGUGGUUAAUGCUAUUCCAACCUACCUUAUGAUGUGCUUCAAGUUCCCUAUGAAAACUUGCAAGGAACUCGAUAGCCUGAUUUUUAACUUUUGGUGGGAUAGUAGCUCAACUAGAAGCAAAAUCCAUUAGAUAGCUUGGCAUAAUAUGACUAAGCCCAAAAUGAGGGAGGUAUGGGUUUUAAGGACCUUGUUAAUUAUAAUCUUGCAUUUUUGGCCAAAACUACAUGGCGAGCAUUUUAAAAUCCUGAUGAUUUAUGGGUUAGAAUCAUAAAAGGUAUUUAUUUCCCUAAUAAGCACUUUCUUGAUGUUAAAAAAGGUUCUCAUGCCUCUUGGUACUGGUUAAACAGUAGAGAUUUUCUAAAGCUAAAUCUAUGUUGGCAAAUUGGUGAUGGACUAACUGCUUUGAUUUAGAAGGAUAACUGGAUUCCUUCUCUACCUAAUCAUCAUUUGGAUACUAAGGAUAGAGAGCUUGCUAAAUCUGAUGUUGUGGUGGCUACUCUUAUAAAUAAUCGCCAAUGGAGGUUGGCAGGUGUGUCUCGCUUAAUAGAUGAUACAACCUUUCAUGCCAUACAACCUUUCAUGUAUCAAAUGAUAAGCUUUUUUGGAGUCCUGCAAAUUCUGGCAUUUAUUCUGUAAAGCAUGGCUAUGCCAAGGUGAUGAAGGAUAAAAGCGAUGGAAAAUCUAUAGCAAGCACAUCAACUACUAUCACUCAAGCCACCUGGAAAAAGGUUCUGCAUAUUUUCUUCUCGAUCUGUGCAUCUCUUCAUCAUCUCAUUCUGCUUGGCAUUUUUCAUCGAUCAUUAUCUGUGAUCUUCGUUCUGUGCAUCGCAUCGCCAUUGAUCUUCAUUCUGUGCAUCGCAUCGCUAUUGGAGUCAGAAGUUUCCGCAUCACAAUUGUCCGCGAGCACCACUGUUCAGCCACCAUCGGAGGAAAUCAUGGUUCCUCACCUCAAUAGAAACAAUAGGACAGAGAAGCAAAAAGGAGAGGAAUGUUUGAAUCCAUGCUAAAACACAAUAGAAAAGAGAGAUGACGCAUCAGAAUUGGAAGGAGACGAGGAAAAACCUGGAGCUCAACCUGUCACAGCAGCUCGAACAGAGGGAGGAGAGGAGAGGAGAGGAGUUCACCAUAAAAAAAAAUAGGGGAGGAAGAAGCCCGACGAAAACGCGCGCCACAGCACUGUCAAAGGAAGGAGAUUUCAGUGUUUUCCUUUAGUCACCAGCAGCGGACGGCGAGAAGGGAGAAGAGUCUUAAAUGCUAAUAGAGGAAGAGCUUCAACAGAGCUUCCGUAGUCUUCAGCAGCGACGAACGAUAAGGAAAAUGAAAGGGAAGAGAGACCUGAACAUUCACAUCAUCACUCACAUACAGAAAGGAGAAGGACGUUGAUGAUCUGACAAGCAGUGACAGAUGAAGCUCUGGCACACUCUCACACUGACGACGCCGAAGAUGGAAGAAGAUGGAGAAGGAAAGAAAAUCGAAGAACUCCCUAUCUCUGUGAUUUCUGGAGCAUUCCCCCGACAGAAAGAAGAAGAAAAAAGGAGAAAAAUAAAAAAGGAAGAAGCAACAUGUGUCUUGGCCUUUGUUUUUUUUGGCUGAAGGGCAUUUUGGUAAUUAUAUGAAGGCAGAAGAAUUUUUCUUCAUCCAAUAUCAAUAUAUAAUAAUAAUUGUGUUUAAAUUGAGAAGUAAAACUACAUUUUAGGUAAAAUAUUAUAGCAAUUAAUGUUUAAAGCAAUGGUCAAAACUUGUAAUUACAAUAGCAACAUAAGAGAAUUAUUGUCCAAGAGCACUUGGUACAGGUAGAAAAAUGUUGCCUAUUCUUACUAGCAAGAGGCAAAAACCGUUGCCUUUUUUAAUCAAUAGUCACAUGAUAACACCUUAAUUCAACAUGCUAAAACCGUUGCCAAUUAUAAUAGCAUACACCAACAAGGAAAACCAUUAAUGCCUAUUAUACCAACAUGUUAACAGGUAAGAACUGUUGCCUAUUCAUACCAACAGGUAAAAAAUGUUGCAUAUGAUAAUACCUUAAACCCGUUGCCUAUAGUGAGACUAUAGGCAAUGGUUUUAUGGUCUGUGGCCUAAAAUAUUAAAAAACUAAUGCCUUAGACAAUAAGUAACAGGGGCAAAUUCCACACCUAAAAACCGUUACCUAUUCCUAUAGGCAACGGUUUUCCACCUUAUGGCAACAGUUUCAGACCAUUGCCACAGAACAAAAAUGUUGUAGUGUAAGAAGCCAUAAGGGAAUCAACCCUACAUUGUAGAACAUGGCAGAGUUUGUGACCUCAUCGUGGCAGGUAAGUGGGAUCUUUCCCUUAUUCAUGAUCUUCUCUCAUAGAAUAUAUUGGAUGCAAUCUUGCAAAUUUUGUUAUCAAAUUAUGGUGUGGCUGAUAAUUUGGUAUGGACAAAAGCAAUAGAUGGGGUUUACCAAGUCAAACUUGGAUAUAAGGUGGCAAAAAAGCAAGCUGGGAUGCCCUUAACUAAGGCUGGCCCCUCUUGGAGUGUAUCAUUAGGAACUUGGAGAGGUAUCUAGAAAAUCAAAUGUGCGCCAAGGGUCCAACAUUUCAUUUAGAGAGUGGUGUCAAAGGUAGUAGUCACAAAUGCUUCCCUGUAUGCUCGAAAGAGAUUUCAAAACAAGGUAUGUAUGGUUUGUGGAUUAGAAUUGAAAACCAUUGAACAUCUCUUUUUUCUAUGUAAUUGGGUCAGACCUGUUUGGUUUGGAUGCAUUUUAGGAAUCAGGUUUGAUCAUUAUAAUGUGACCAGUUUUGAAGCUUAGUGGGAGGGGCUUAUGAAUAUUAAAAGUGGACUUACUGAAGUUGAUAUUGCAUUUACUUGUUGGCUUCUCUGGCAUAUAUGGAGAAGUAGAAAUGUGAAAGUAUUUGAUAAUGUAGAGCCUACUCCUGUACGAGUUCUUGAUCUAGCCAAAUAUUCACAUUUCGAGUUCUGGUUAGCAUGUGAUUCCCCUACUAAUAGAGUCUCCACUGUUAUUCAUCCUAAUGUGAAACAUUGAUGCCGCCUCUUAUUGGGUCUUAUAAGAUAAAUAUUGGUGCUACCUUUGCUGAAGAAUCACCACAUUCUGCUUUUGGAGUAAUAUGCCGGGAUGCUAAUGGCUUAUUUUAGUAGGGUUUUAUGGAUUAAGUGAAAUCACUCUUUACGUUUAUGUCUGAAGCCUUGGCUCUUAAAAGGGCCCUCACGCUUGCCAUAAACAUGGGUCAUGAUAAAGUCAUAUUUGAGACUGACUAUUUACUCUUGGUCAAAAGUAUUUCUCUUAAUCAGCUUGAUUUGCAUGACUGGAGAUGUAGAAGUAUUAUCCAUGGGUGUAUUACAGCUCUUUCGUCCAAGGUUGUGUUUCUUUGUGCUAUACUCCUCGUCAGAGUAAUCAAGCAGCUGACUUUCUUGCAGCUGUUGCUUCUAAGGAUGUGUACCCAUUAGGGUGGGUGUCUGAGCCAACACUUCCUUUGUCUACCAUUCUAACCUCGGAUGCCAUUGGAGUUUGUUACUCUGCUCGUGCUUCCUCUUUUGCAAAUUGUGCUGAUUAUUAUUGAUUUUUUUGCUGUAUUUGGUUUUUGUUUUUCGAUUCAGUUCUUUGAACUCUUCGUUGCUAUACUCUUUAUCUGUUGAAUGCAUGGGACUUUUCUUAUUAAAAAAAAAUCUACAGUUAAAUGAAUCAUACAUACCGUACAUGAGUAUGAGAAUGGUAAGGAGAAGAUGUUGGAAGUGAUAAAAUAUUUUGAAGCUUCUAUAUGUUUUGGUAAUAAAUAAAUUUAACAUGUCCUCACCAUUUAACAAAAUUAUUUUAUUAUAAGG
Prosopis cineraria is the source of this 7306-nucleotide RNA transcript. RefSeq lists it as uncharacterized. The transcript is spliced from 3 exons. Lineage: Eukaryota; Viridiplantae; Streptophyta; Magnoliopsida; Fabales; Fabaceae. The record is from RefSeq and is a predicted model, not a curated record.